ACAUGAUGACACCAAACUCAAAUAGCUGGAAUUACCGUCAGAAUUAUCUGUUGAGUCGUGGUUUUCUGAUU
Small nucleolar RNA from Amblyraja radiata (thorny skate), 71 nucleotides. The record is from RefSeq and is a predicted model, not a curated record. NCBI's taxonomy places the organism in Eukaryota, Metazoa, Chordata, Chondrichthyes, Rajiformes, Rajidae.